This is a long non-coding RNA of Columba livia (rock pigeon), 4804 nucleotides long. RefSeq lists it as uncharacterized. The transcript is spliced from 4 exons. The record is from RefSeq and is a predicted model, not a curated record. Lineage: Eukaryota; Metazoa; Chordata; Aves; Columbiformes; Columbidae.
GUAACUUACAUUCACUGAAAACUCAUUUCAGUCUAUUACUGACAAGUGGAGCUUCAGAUGAGCAAUUAAACUAAUAGCAGCUCGGAAAUGUUCCUGGAACGGCCGUGUUCACGCUAAAUUAACAGCCUCGUUUUAUACCAACAGGUUGUACCGCAGAACUGGUUUAUUUUCAGUCCCGGGCAGCGUGGCGUGUUCAUUACGGUGCAUCUGACACCAACGUGUUUCCUUUACCGUCUGUUUCAUUUGCUGCUGCUUCAGAUCCGCGGCUCAGUUCAUCUUCCUCACCGCAGUGACGGGCAAAUCUGGAAUUCAUUCUGCUAACUGCACGCUUGCCUUUCGGAUUUUAACCGAUUUCUCUUGGCCGUGCUCACUGCUCUUGGCCAUUUGCUUCGCACCCAGCGCGUGGGGUCGGCUGCAACGCUGGAGGCGCCGACCUGAGCGGGUUUUGCUGUGAGCAGCUUUUAUAACAUAGAUCAGUCAGAGGAAAGAUGGGAAGAGACGUCGCUCUCAAGCAGCAAAAAUUGCUGCUGAGAAAGUGUUUGGGAAUAUGGUUUAGUCUCUAUGGAUAAGAUGGACAGAAAAAAUCAGGAACAUGCGAAUUAUUUCUGCAAAUGUUGGACGUGCGGAAAGUGAAACACCCGGAUGAUGCUCAAGGGGUUGUGGAGCCUCAGCAAAGCUUCAGCUUAGGCCAGGCUUAAUACAAGAGCUGUGCUACGGCCAAAUGCGUAAAGCUGUCUUUAUACCCGAUUCUUUUGAAUUUAGAAAGAAAAGAAAUAUAAACUUGCUUCCAAUUAAGCUUGUGUUUAAAAGUUCUGUUGCUUGGCUGCUAAAGUUUUCUUUGUUUAACAAAAGAUUUCUAAGGAUCCCAAAGGGAGAGGGAAUCGGAAUUCAUCCAGCUCUUGAGGGCAAAUAAAGGGACGGUGAGUGCGCCUGGGAUUAAAAGGAGGAAUCAGAGAAAGGCAGGUGAAUAUAGAUUUAAAAUCCAUUGCUCAACUCUGAUUUCACAAAUCCUGCGGUCAAUCCCCAGCCUGUUACAGCAUCUUACACAAACCUAUGGGAAUGACAAAUUAUUCAAGGGGCAAAAAUCACUAAAUGUUUAGAAUUACAUCAGUGACAUUAACUUGGGGCAAAUGGAGUGGAGGAAGCAGAACCCAUUAGCGUCGGGUUUGACAAACACAUUAUUGGGAGAUAAAACGACUUCCAUGUGUUGUUUGUCAGAUGUCAGGAGGAAGGAUAUGUAUUUCCUAGUAAAAUCAAAAAUAAUGGAGUCAGAAAGCUCAGAGGCUACAGACACAAAAAAUAAAUCAAUACUAACUCAUUGCGCGGCGAGUCCUUUUACCGCGUUACGGUGAAGAAACGAACUGAAUCGUCUGUUAGGGCUUGUUGAGGCUGCUUUUAUGAAAAGGCGAUUCAGCAGAGGCCGCGGUCACCCCGGCAGCAGCUCCUGCGCCCCAGUUCUGCCCCUCCACGGGAAACUCAGUCUAUGGGAGAACGUGGAGCUCGUGCCAUUUUAUAGCAAUUAAGGAUUUUUGCCCCCGUUAGCCCAGGGAGGGAUUUAACAACAUCAGAGAUGAUUCCGUAUUUUACACUGCCAGGCUAUAUUCACAUCUAUCUACAUCUUCCCACACAUACAUAUAUAUACAUACACACAUCCUCUACAGCUGCUGUUUGCGUACUGAAUUAGUCCAUGUAAGCAGUAAUUUUAAAUGUCGCUUUAGGAAUAAAAUAUCUAUUGAUCGUUUAGAUGCCAUCCAAAAAUUUGACACGCACACUAAUUAGAAACACCAGAGAAUGGGGUAAACGCAAAAGUAACUCGCCUGCAAGUUCCAUGUAAAAUAGUCCCAUUUCUUAUUGCUGAAGACAAAGCUGCUGCAGAAGCCCGCAAAGAAUUGAACACGCGUUGAAACUAAAGCAUUAAAUGACUGAUAAUAUCUGGGGAAUGACCCAUUAAAUAAAAACGUAUUUUAAAUAUUUCUUGCAUAAUCUUUAGGCGUUAAUUUGUAAUUCUUACAGGUUUCAUUGCUGAUCUAUAAUCCCGACCGUGAAAAUGAACCCGUGCCUUUACCUAAGGAGUUUUCUUUCAAGCAGGUCUAACUUAAAUAUCAAAGCAUUGGCAUAAUAAACCUACAAUAUUCCUCAGAAUAUAUGUUUCUUCGUAUCUUGCUAAUUAUAUUUAAAGAGGUAUAGCUGGUUAAUGUAAUUGACCCACUUACAAUAUAAAACAUUUUAAGUAAUGUGCUUUGAAAUACCUGCCAAAAAAGUUGCUAUUUUUUCUGCUCUUUUGUUCAUGAGUUGAGGAUUAAAAGAAGAAAACACAAAUAGAUACCAGGUUAAAGAAACCAACUGAAAAGGAAAACAUUGUCCCCUUCAUCCCAUUUUAGGAUGAGCUCAGGUGGUCCUGUGGGGUUUUUAUCUGGACUGAGACCUCCAAAGAAAGAAGUUUCGCUGCCAAAGUCACCAGAAGGAUGAAACACCCUCCCGAGUGCGCAGCUGUGGCCAGAGGAAGUUCGGAUUGUGCAUCUGUAAUUGUGAAACACACGUGUUCAUAACCCCCAACAAGAGCGUCACACGACCAGUGUCCGUAUUUCCGUCUUUCUCCAGCACCAAAUUGCAACAGUGGAAAUAAAUCAGCCGAAAAGAAGAUUAACUUGUGUUAUUGGAAAUGCCGUCGUCUCAGGAAUCUGCUCCAGGUGACACCUCGGCCCGGAGGAGCGUUACGGUAGCAGGACAAAGCUUUCUCUAAAUCAUUUCUUUCUGCACAAACUGAAGAACGCGGGUAUUUCCAGCCCAGCAACUGGAAUCGGAGAGCACACAGAAAUGUUGCAGUGCUUACCGGGAAGGCAUCGCUAAUCAAUCCAGCACCGGGCCAGCGCACGGGAGGAACGGAAAACGCAGAUUCGGGGGCGCCGCUCCACAUCGAUUCACCCACCCACGGAUGGCCAAAGAACAAACCCUAUUUAGCUGCAUUCAGAAGAACAAACACCUUCUUUUCCUUGUUAUCUGCCUCUGUGCUUGUCCAGCGCUGCCCCAGCUCCCCCGCAAGACGCGUUUUAAAUGGAAAAUUUGAAACUACUAUUCUGCACGGUACGGUAAGAGAAACGACCCAAAAGGUUCACAAUCCAGCCUGUCGGAAUAAGAAUGUGCUUUACUUCCACUCUUGCUAUUCCCCAUUUCAGCCGCUUUCAAUCUGGCCCGCAGUGAAAAUCGAGCUGGACAGGAAAAUGCCCUGCAGAUUUUGAUGUCGUUGUUCAGACGGCCCCGAAUGGAAACAAGUAAAUGACAACAAAGCGAGAAAAACACCCCUCCAUUGAAAAUACUCCUGUAACAGUAGUGAUUUUUUAUUAAUUAUUAUCAUUAUUAAUAGACCUAAUUUCAUGCAGCAAAUUAGCAUAGCUCCAAUGGAAGUGCAAAUGCAAUCAAACUGAACAAUUCAAAUGAGGUGGAGGGAGCCUUUUUCUUCCUUUCUUUUGCUUUUUUGUCGCACGCACACAAAAAGAAUCAUUUUGGUGUGUGUCCUUCAAGCGGCUACAGGGACUAUGGUAAUUAAACCAUUUAGAGCAGCACGAGCCCCCGGUCUCUAAUCUGGAGCUCAGGUCAGCUGUCUGUAGAUUCUAAUUUGUCCUCGAUUUGUAUUCAUGCUGCAUAUUUCAGAGCGAAGCAGCGGGAGGGGCCAUUGCUGCCUUGGAGGUCAAAUCAUUUGAUUUCCGCGCAGAUUACACGGAACGUCCGACAUCGGAUCUCACACCCGAUCUGGUGACAAAAUGACGAUAAAGGUAACGCGGAUGGGGUGGGGGAAUUACUGGCUUUCAGGGGCUGGUUUGCAAACGGCAGCUCGACUCCUUCCAGGAAAGGUCAAAACUCCCUUUGGGAGACUUCCAACUUCAAACCAUCAAACGGUGAAUAUUGGAGAAUUCGAUUUAAAAAAAAAAAUUCAAAAUUUCAAAUUUUUGGAGGAAAAACUAUAUCUAAAAAAAUACCUUUGGACAAUGGUUAACAACGAUUUAGUCAUUAAUCCACAGAUAUUUUAGCUAAACACUCUUGUUUGAAGAUGAACAGAUAGGAUAAGGUUCAGCAUACAACAGCAGCCAAAGCACAGGGUGGCUUUUACAACUGGACAUUCCUCACAAUUUCAUUAUUAACAUUUUAACCAGAAGGGCUUGGGGGAGCAGGCAAAGAAUCACUGUGAACAAUUAAACACAUAAUAAAAUGGUUGUGUGAAUUAAAAAAAAAACAAGAAAACAAUGGAUUUUGCACUUUUUUCCUCACUUUUGCCAUAGAAGCCAAUCCAGUGAGAAUUCAAUGAUCCAAAAUAUCCAAAAUCGUUCUCUACUUAACCAAAACUAGAAAACAAAAGCUCAAUCAGCACUCGCUACGCAAUUGAACAAGCCUAUUUGUUUCCCGGUGAAAAUGAACCAUUUUGUUCUAAAUUGAUAGCUAAUUCCUCAGACCAAUUGGUGGAUUUCAUGUAACAAGCUUCUCUUUGGGAAACGUGUUCUAUUCAUUUCCAAACACCGUAACAGCCUCACGACUCCUUCAAAGACACCACAGGACAGUUGUUAUGGUGCUUAUUAAUAAAUGGAAAGAAGUUCCCAUUGUUCCCGAUUUCCCUUUGCCUUUCCAUCGUCACCCUUUAUUAUCACAAAGCAAUUCCUAGAAUAUGAGAUAUAAUAAUAAUUAAACCCAAGAAGUAUUAGUGCACAUUUGUGGCAGAUGAGCCCCAGCCCCAGCUCUGAGCUCGUCUCUGCGAUUUCUCCAGCAAAUCUCCCGUUCUGGUUUAAACGUGGUGGGUGGGAACCAGAGAAGA